UACGUAGGCGGAAAAUUAAGUCAGUAGUGAAAUCCUGCAGCUUAACUGUAGAACUGUUAUUGAUACUGGUUUUCUUGAAUAUAGUUGAGGUAGGCGGAAUGUGCAAUGUAGCGGUGAAAUGCUUAGAUAUUACACAGAACACCGAUUGCGAAGGCAGCUUACUAAACUAUUAUUGACGCUGAGGUACGAAAGCGUGGGGAGCGAACAGGAUUAGAACCCUGGUAGUCC
This 228-nucleotide ribosomal RNA is filed under the name uncultured bacterium. RNAcentral describes it as "partial 16S ribosomal RNA". It matches the Rfam family "Bacterial small subunit ribosomal RNA", at positions 568 to 796 of the family's 1533-position model. The record is from RNAcentral.